AUUGAACGCUGGCGGCAUGCCUUACACAUGCAAGUCGAACGGCAGCACGGGAGCUUGCUCCUGGUUGCGAGUGGCGAACGGGAGAGUAAUACAUCGGAACGUACCCAGGAGUGUGGGAUAACGUAGCGAAAGUUACGCUAAUACCGCAUACUCUGUGAGCAGGAAAGCGGGGGAUCGCAAGACCUCGCGCUCUUGGAGCGGCCGAUGUCGGAUUAGCUAGUUGGUGAGGUAAAAGCUCACCAAGGCGACGAUCCGUAGCAGGUCUGAGAGGAUGAUCUGCCACACUGGGACUGAGACACGGCCCAGACUCCUACGGGAGGCAGCAGUGGGGAAUUUUGGACAAUGGGGGCAACCCUGAUCCAGCCAUGCCGCGUGAGUGAAGAAGGCCUUCGGGUUGUAAAGCUCUUUCGGCGGGGAAGAGAUGGCAACGGCUAAUAUCCGUUGUUGAUGACGGUACCCGCAUAAGAAGCACCGGCUAACUACGUGCCAGCAGCCGCGGUAA
This 502-nucleotide ribosomal RNA is filed under the name uncultured bacterium. RNAcentral describes it as "partial 16S ribosomal RNA". It matches the Rfam family "Bacterial small subunit ribosomal RNA", at positions 30 to 523 of the family's 1533-position model. The record is from RNAcentral.